RNAcentral lists this ribosomal RNA (706 nucleotides) under bacterium. RNAcentral's name for it is "bacterial SSU rRNA". It matches the Rfam family "Bacterial small subunit ribosomal RNA", at positions 38 to 740 of the family's 1533-position model. The record is from RNAcentral.
AGGGGGGUGCUAAUACAUGCAAGUCGAGCGGACCUCUUCGGAGAUCAGCGGCGGACGGGUGAGUAACACGUGGGCAACCUGCCUGUAAGACUGGGAUAACUCCGGGAAACCGGAGCUAAUACCGGAUACUAUGUCAAACCGCAUGGUUUGACAUUCAAAGACGGUUUCGGCUGUCACUUACAGAUGGGCCCGCGGCGCAUUAGCUAGUUGGUGAGGUAAUGGCUCACCAAGGCGACGAUGCGUAGCCGACCUGAGAGGGUGAUCGGCCACACUGGGACUGAGACACGGCCCAGACUCCUACGGGAGGCAGCAGUAGGGAAUCUUCCGCAAUGGACGAAAGUCUGACGGAGCAACGCCGCGUGAGUGAUGAAGGUUUUCGGAUCGUAAAACUCUGUUGUCAGGGAAGAACAAGUGCCGGAGUAACUGCCGGCGCCUUGACGGUACCUGACCAGAAAGCCACGGCUAACUACGUGCCAGCAGCCGCGGUAAUACGUAGGUGGCAAGCGUUGUCCGGAAUUAUUGGGCGUAAAGCGCGCGCAGGCGGUUUCUUAAGUCUGAUGUGAAAGCCCCCGGCUCAACCGGGGAGGGUCAUUGGAAACUGGGAAACUUGAGUGCAGAAGAGGAGAGUGGAAUUCCACGUGUAGCGGUGAAAUGCGUAGAGAUGUGGAGGAACACCAGUGGCGAAGGCGACUCUCUGGUCUGUAAC